GUAGGGUGCGAGCGUUAAUCGGGAAUUACUGGGCGUAAAGCGUGCGCAGGCGGUUCGCUAAGACCGAUGUGAAAUCCCCCGGGGGCUUUAAACCUGGGGAACUGCAUUGGUGACUGGCGGGCUAGAGUAUGGCAGACGGGGGGUAGAAUUCCACGUGUAGCAGUGAAAUGCGUAGAGAUGUGGAGGAAUACCGAUGGCGAAGGCAGACCCCCUGGGCCAAUACUGACGCUCAUGCACGAAAGCGUGGGGAGCAAACAGGAUUAGAUACCCUGGUAGUCCACGCCCUAAACGAUGUCAACUAGUUGUCGGGUCUUCAUUGACUUGGUAACGUAGCUAACGCGUGAAGUUGACCGCCUGGGGAGUACGGUCGCAAAGAUUAA
RNAcentral lists this ribosomal RNA (380 nucleotides) under uncultured organism. RNAcentral's name for it is "partial 16S ribosomal RNA". It matches the Rfam family "Bacterial small subunit ribosomal RNA", at positions 527 to 897 of the family's 1533-position model. The record is from RNAcentral.